Molecule: long non-coding RNA, 410 nt
Filed under: Panax ginseng (ginseng)
Lineage: Eukaryota; Viridiplantae; Streptophyta; Magnoliopsida; Apiales; Araliaceae
Description: long non-coding RNA (PGIN_LNC001926)
Source: RNAcentral
UGGUUUCAGAUCAAAGUACUCAUGACAUAGAACACACUUAUAACAUAAAACAACAACUAUCAAAAAUAGAGAAAGAUCUAGGGCCUCUGACAUAUGACUGUUAGGCCAAAAUUUUUUAAUUUUCUAGAUUUCUAAAAACUCAAAUUUCGAGCACUUUGAUGUUAUGGAUCUAAGUUUUAGCACCCAGAUCAUUGAAUGACACCCUCUAACAUAAAUUUAAACAUCUAACAACAACAUCUAACAUAAAAUACAUAGACCUACAAGUUUAGGGUUUUAUACCUUUUGAAUGCCCAAUCUUUGAAUCUGAUUCCUAAUGAUCUGAUAUUGGUAAGCUAGAAAAUGAUCAUAGCCUAUCUUAUCACUCUCUUUCACUUCCAAUCUCAAAUUUUUAGAGAGAGAAGGAAGUUGAC